GACGAACGCUGGCGGCGUGCCUAAUACAUGCAAGUCGAACGAACUCUGGUAUUGAUUGGUGCUUGCAUCAUGAUUUACAUUUGAGUGAGUGGCGAACUGGUGAGUAACACGUGGGAAACCUGCCCAGAAGCGGGGGAUAACACCUGGAAACAGAUGCUAAUACCGCAUAACAACUUGGACCGCAUGGUCCGAGUUUGAAAGAUGGCUUCGGCUAUCACUUUUGGAUGGUCCCGCGGCGUAUUAGCUAGAUGGUGGGGUAACGGCUCACCAUGGCAAUGAUACGUAGCCGACCUGAGAGGGUAAUCGGCCACAUUGGGACUGAGACACGGCCCAAACUCCUACGGGAGGCAGCAGUAGGGAAUCUUCCACAAUGGACGAAAGUCUGAUGGAGCAACGCCGCGUGAGUGAAGAAGGGUUUCGGCUCGUAAAACUCUGUUGUUAAAGAAGAACAUAUCUGAGAGUAACUGUUCAGGUAUUGACGGUAUUUAACCAGAAAGCCACGGCUAACUACGUGCCAGCAGCCGCGGUAAUACGUAGGUGGCAAGCGUUGUCCGGAUUUAUUGGGCGUAAAGCGAGCGCAGGCGGUUUUUUAAGUCUGAUGUGAAAGCCUUCGGCUCAACCGAAGAAGUGCAUCGGAAACUGGGAAACUUGAGUGCAGAAGAGGACAGUGGAACUCCAUGUGUAGCGGUGAAAUGCGUAGAUAUAUGGAAGAACACCAGUGGCGAAGGCGGCUGUCUGGUCUGUAACUGACGCUGAGGCUCGAAAGUAUGGGUAGCAAACAGGAUUAGAUACCCUGGUAGUCCAUACCGUAAACGAUGAAUGCUAAGUGUUGGAGGGUUUCCGCCCUUCAGUGCUGCAGCUAACGCAUUAAGCAUUCCGCCUGGGGAGUACGGCCGCAAGGCUGAAACUCAAAGGAAUUGACGGGGGCCCGCACAAGCGGUGGAGCAUGUGGUUUAAUUCGAAGCUACGCGAAGAACCUUACCAGGUCUUGACAUACUAUGCAAAUCUAAGAGAUUAGACGUUCCCUUCGGGGACAUGGAUACAUGUGGUGCAUGGUUGUCGUCAGCUCGUGUCGUGAGAUGUUGGGUUAAGUCCCGCAACGAGCGCAACCCUUAUUAUCAGUUGCCAGCAUUAAGUUGGGCACUCUGGUGAGACUGCCGGUGACAAACCGGAGGAAGGUGGGGAUGACGUCAAAUCAUCAUGCCCCUUAUGACCUGGGCUACACACGUGCUACAAUGGAUGGUACAACGAGUUGCGAACUCGCGAGAGUAAGCUAAUCUCUUAAAGCCAUUCUCAGUUCGGAUUGUAGGCUGCAACUCGCCUACAUGAAGUCGGAAUCGCUAGUAAUCGCGGAUCAGCAUGCCGCGGUGAAUACGUUCCCGGGCCUUGUACACACCGCCCGUCACACCAUGAGAGUUUGUAACACCCAAAGUCGGUGGGGUAACCUUUUAGGAACCAGCCGCCUAAGGUGGGACAGAUGAUUAGGGUG
Molecule: ribosomal RNA, 1489 nt
Filed under: Lactiplantibacillus pentosus
Lineage: Bacteria; Bacillati; Bacillota; Bacilli; Lactobacillales; Lactobacillaceae
Description: bacterial SSU rRNA
Rfam family: Bacterial small subunit ribosomal RNA
Source: RNAcentral